GAUUGUGGCUCAGUGGUAGAGCGCUCACCUCGCACGUGUGAGAUCUUGGGUUCCAUCCUCAGUACG
This 66-nucleotide transfer RNA is filed under the name Marmota monax (woodchuck). RNAcentral's name for it is "tRNA.Ala". It matches the Rfam family "tRNA", at positions 6 to 65 of the family's 71-position model. From Rfam's summary of the family: Transfer RNA (tRNA) molecules are approximately 80 nucleotides in length. Their secondary structure includes four short double-helical elements and three loops (D, anti-codon, and T loops). Lineage: Eukaryota; Metazoa; Chordata; Mammalia; Rodentia; Sciuridae. The record is from RNAcentral.